GGAUGCGAUCAUACCAGCACUAAAGCACCGGAUCCCAUCAGAACUCCGAAGUUAAGCGUGGUUGGGCGAGAGUAGUACUAGGAUGGGUGACUUCCUGGGAAGUCCUCGUGUUGCAUUCC
Molecule: ribosomal RNA, 119 nt
Filed under: Triticum aestivum (bread wheat)
Lineage: Eukaryota; Viridiplantae; Streptophyta; Magnoliopsida; Poales; Poaceae
Source: RNAcentral